AUACAGUGUGACGAAAAGCUA
RNAcentral lists this non-coding RNA (21 nucleotides) under Arabidopsis thaliana (thale cress). Lineage: Eukaryota; Viridiplantae; Streptophyta; Magnoliopsida; Brassicales; Brassicaceae. The record is from RNAcentral.